UGCAGUCGAACGGUAACAGGCCGCAAGGUGCUGACGAGUGGCGAACGGGUGAGUAAUGCAUCGGAACGUGCCCAGUCGUGGGGGAUAACGCAGCGAGAGCUGCGCUAAUACCGCAUACGAUCUAUGGAUGAAAGCGGGGGACCGUAAGGCCUCGCGCGAUUGGAGCGGCCGAUGUCAGAUUAGGUAGUUGGUGGGGUAAAGGCUCACCAAGCCGACGAUCUGUAGCUGGUCUGAGAGGACGACCAGCCACACUGGAACUGAGACACGGUCCAGACUCCUACGGGAGGCAGCAGUGGGGAAUUUUGGACAAUGGGCGCAAGCCUGAUCCAGCAAUGCCGCGUGCAGGAAGAAGGCCUUCGGGUUGUAAACUGCUUUUGUACGGAACGAAACGACCCUGGUUAAUACCUGGGGUUAAUGACGGUACCGUAAGAAUAAGCACCGGCUAACUACGUGCCAGCAGCCGCGGUAAUACGUAGGGUGCAAGCGUUAAUCGGAAUUACUGGGCGUAAAGCGUGCGCAGGCGGUGAUGUAAGACAGUCGUGAAAUCCCCGGGCUCAACCUGGGAAUUGCGAUUGUGACUGCAUCGCUGGAGUGCGGCAGAGGGGGAUGG
Molecule: ribosomal RNA, 610 nt
Filed under: uncultured Pseudomonadota bacterium
Lineage: Bacteria; Pseudomonadati; Pseudomonadota
Description: bacterial SSU rRNA
Rfam family: Bacterial small subunit ribosomal RNA
Source: RNAcentral